UGGUGGACGGGAUAUGUUCGGUUUUUAUGGUAUCUAUACCGAGGGCACUACAUAAUAAGUACAGGGCGAUUUUGUUAUCGCGAACCGACGAUUUUCGGCAAAUUCAAUACGCGUUGUAUACGAUUCUCUGUGCGUCUACCGUAUCGACGUUCAAAAGUUUUUUUUUCGAAAUAUCGAUUUGCGUAGUAUAUCGAUGUUCAUAGUAUUAUCGUGCGCGUCGAAAUUUUAAGAAAAACAUUCUUUAUUCGAAGCGGAAUUUGAAAAUUUAGGUUGCUAUUUGAAAA
Molecule: non-coding RNA, 284 nt
Organism: Cinara cedri
Lineage: Eukaryota; Metazoa; Arthropoda; Insecta; Hemiptera; Aphididae
Source: the annotation of a GenBank genome assembly